This 253-nucleotide ribosomal RNA is filed under the name uncultured bacterium. RNAcentral's name for it is "partial 16S ribosomal RNA". It matches the Rfam family "Bacterial small subunit ribosomal RNA", at positions 524 to 776 of the family's 1533-position model. The record is from RNAcentral.
GACAGAGGGGGCAAGCGUUGCUCGGAAUUACUGGGCGUAAAGAGCUCGUAGGCGGUUCGUCGCGUCGGCUGUGAAAUCCCGAGGCUCAACCUCGGGUCUGCAGUCGAUACGGGCGGACUGGAGUUCGGCAGGGGAGACUGGAAUUCCUGGUGUAGCGGUGAAAUGCGCAGAUAUCAGGAGGAACACCGGUGGCGAAGGCGGGUCUCUGGGCCGAUACUGACGCUGAGGAGCGAAAGCGUGGGGAGCGAACAGG